RNAcentral lists this ribosomal RNA (1509 nucleotides) under uncultured bacterium. RNAcentral's name for it is "bacterial SSU rRNA". It matches the Rfam family "Bacterial small subunit ribosomal RNA". The record is from RNAcentral.
AGAGUUUGAUCCUGGCUCAGGACGAACGCUGGCGGCGUGCCUAAUACAUGCAAGUCGAGCGGACUUGUAGGAGCUUGCUCCUGCAGGUUAGCGGCGGACGGGUGAGUAACACGUGGGCAACCUACCUAUAAGACUGGGAUAACUUCGGGAAACCGGAGCUAAUACCGGAUGACAUAAAGGAACUCCUGUUCCUUUAUUGAAAGAUGGCUUCGGCUAUCACUUAUAGAUGGGCCCGCGGCGCAUUAGCUAGUUGGUGAGGUAAUGGCUCACCAAGGCGACGAUGCGUAGCCGACCUGAGAGGGUGAUCGGCCACACUGGGACUGAGACACGGCCCAGACUCCUACGGGAGGCAGCAGUAGGGAAUCUUCGGCAAUGGGCGAAAGCCUGACCGAGCAACGCCGCGUGAGCGAUGAAGGCCUUCGGGUCGUAAAGCUCUGUUGUUAGGGAAGAACAAGUACGAGAGUAACUGCUCGUACCUUGACGGUACCUAACCAGAAAGCCACGGCUAACUACGUGCCAGCAGCCGCGGUAAUACGUAGGUGGCAAGCGUUAUCCGGAAUUAUUGGGCGUAAAGCGCGCGCAGGCGGUCUCUUAAGUCUGAUGUGAAAGCCCACGGGCUCACCCGUGGAGGGUCAUUGGAAACUGGGAGACUUGAGUGCAGGAGAGAAAAGUGGAAUUUCCACGUGUAGCGGUGAAAUGCGUAGAGAUGUGGAGGAACACCAGUGGCGAAGGCGGCUUUUUGGCCUGUAACUGACGCUGAGGCGUGAAAGCGUGGGGAGCAAACAGGAUUAGAUACCCUGGUAGUCCACGCCGUAAACGAUGAGUGCUAGGUGUUGGGGGGUUCCACCCUCAGUGCUGAAGUUAACACAUUAAGCACUCCGCCUGGGGAGUACGACCGCAAGGUUGAAACUCAAAGGAAUUGACGGGGGCCCGCACAAGCGGUGGAGCAUGUGGUUUAAUUCGAAGCAACGCGAAGAACCUUACCAGGUCUUGACAUCCCACUGAUCGGCUUAGAGAUAGGCUUUUCCCUUCGGGGACAGUGGUGACAGGUGGUGCAUGGUUGUCGUCAGCUCGUGUCGUGAGAUGUUGGGUUAAGUCCCGCAACGAGCGCAACCCUUGAUCUUAGUUGCCAGCAUUCAGUUGGGCACUCUAAGGUGACUGCCGGUGACAAACCGGAGGAAGGUGGGGAUGACGUCAAAUCAUCAUGCCCCUUAUGACCUGGGCUACACACGUGCUACAAUGGACGAUACAAAGGGCUGCAAACCCGCGAGGGGGAGCCAAUCCCAUAAAAUCGUUCUCAGUUCGGAUUGUAGGCUGCAACUCGCCUACAUGAAGCCGGAAUCGCUAGUAAUCGUGGAUCAGCAUGCCACGGUGAAUACGUUCCCGGGCCUUGUACACACCGCCCGUCACACCACGAGAGUUUGUAACACCCGAAGUCGGUGAGGUAACCUUUACAGGAGCCAGCCGCCGAAGGUGGGACAGAUGAUUGGGGUGAAGUCGUAACAAGGU